This 465-nucleotide ribosomal RNA is filed under the name Vreelandella stevensii. Its description in RNAcentral is "partial 16S ribosomal RNA". It matches the Rfam family "Bacterial small subunit ribosomal RNA", at positions 338 to 795 of the family's 1533-position model. The record is from RNAcentral. Lineage: Bacteria; Pseudomonadati; Pseudomonadota; Gammaproteobacteria; Oceanospirillales; Halomonadaceae.
CCUACGGGGGGCUGCAGUGGGGAAUAUUGGACAAUGGGGGGAACCCUGAUCCAGCCAUGCCGCGUGUGUGAAGAAGGCCCUCGGGUUGUAAAGCACUUUCAGUGAGGAAGAACGCCUGGUGGUUAAUACCCAUCAGGAAAGACAUCACUCACAGAAGAAGCACCGGCUAACUCCGUGCCAGCAGCCGCGGUAAUACGGAGGGUGCGAGCGUUAAUCGGAAUUACUGGGCGUAAAGCGCGCGUAGGUGGCUUGAUAAGCCGGUUGUGAAAGCCCCGGGCUCAACCUGGGAACGGCAUCCGGACCUGUCAAGCUAGAGUGCAGGAGAGGAAGGUAGAAUUCCCGGUGUAGCGGUGAAAUGCGUAGAGAUCGGGAGGAAUACCAGUGGCGAAGGCGGCCUUCUGGACUGACACUGACACUGAGGUGCGAAAGCGUGGGUAGCAAACAGGAUUAGAUACCCGUGUAGUC